AUACUUCAGGGGCAACAGAGUUACCAUGAUCACAAAAGUGAUUUUCUCAAGGUGAGGCUUCUCCAUGGCACUCCAGAUGUAUCAACUCCAGUGAUUUCCUCAAAUGACAAAAACUCUGCUGCAGAUUUGUGCUGUUGGAGAUCACAGCUGUACUCUCCC
Molecule: non-coding RNA, 159 nt
Organism: Myodes glareolus (Bank vole)
Lineage: Eukaryota; Metazoa; Chordata; Mammalia; Rodentia; Cricetidae
Source: RefSeq, a predicted model, not a curated record